GCAUCUUACCUGUGUUUGUGCCUUUGAGAUCUUAUUCUUGGUGUACUAUAGCUUUAUAGAACUGGACAUACUAGUAUAAACACAUUGAAAUCCGAUACACUGAAAGUAACACUGAAAACUGGAAAAUGGUUAGAGCAGUAAAAAUAUACCUGUUUGUCUUGUUGCAUAGCCAUAAAGUAACAGUUUUUCAGUAAGCAGUCUGAAACUAACUUUGCUUUGUAAUCUUCUAGGAAGAACUUAAAUUCUUUGCAAGGAAACCUACUUUCUGAGCCAGACAUCCAAUGUUUCUGCAGAAAUGUCCAUGAAACCGGUCCAAAGGUUCUGCAGUAGCACUUUUGUUAUAUGAAAAAUAGAACUUUUUUUUCCUGGCCUUUGCACAGAUGGGUGUAGCAUGUGGUUUUACAUAGAGAUUUUAUACUAAAAAUCAAAAAUUUAGUAAUCCAUAUUUAUACUAUUAAAAAUUGAAUGUUUGGUAUUUUGAAGCUGUAAGAACUCAUAAUUAACUAUAUACAAGCAAUAUUAAUUUGAGAGAUUUUUGUUUAUGUAUUGUAAAGUAAGGAAGUCUAUUUUAGAAUAUGGAGAAGGAAUUAGGUAUCUAUAUAUAAAAUAGAUACUUAUUGCAGUUAGUCCAAGAGAACUACUGCUACAAUCCCCUAUUUUCAGGGGUGUAUAAUCCUACUUCAGAUAUUUACACGAGACAGAAACUUUGCAGUUAGUUUAGACACAGAAGCAUUUUUUAAAUGAAUGGCAUAUUGACUGUAAAAAGAAAAGUAGUGCUUGUGGCACCUUAGAGACUAACUGUGUUUUGCAUAUCAGUGCUCUCUGACUUUUUUCCAUUUGUAUAACUUAAGGGGUGUUUUUUAAUGGUCCAGAUAAGUUUAAAGAUCAUACAGAAAGAAACACAGUUAGGGCCUGAGCCUCAAGUCCAUUGAAGUUAAUCUUUCCAUUGAGUUCAACAUGCUUUGGAUCAGGUCUUGAGCAUCUCUAGAACUAUAACUACAGGGUUAGAGUGAAAAUUUAUUUCCCUGGAUUCUUCUAAAAAAUGCAGGCUUUUAUUAAAAUAACAUAUAGUUGAAAUAACAUGCAUAGUUUAGGAUAACUCACAAAAAAGUGGAGUUCUCAUUUGCCAACUAAAUAUUUGAUAUUUAAUUAUUUUUUUUUUAUGUUCAGUCUUGGAGACGCUUUAGUUGCAGAUUUCCUUAUUGUUUGUCUCAGACCUUUCCUUCUAAUGUUUUUUUGUAUGAAAACAAAUGAAACUUAAUUUUGCACUUCAGGAAUUAUACAUAUUGCAAAGUUAUAUGCAAUAUAUAUUGCAAAGCCUAUAAAACAUUAUGAUUUUUUUUUUCCUGAACCCCUUGCCCUGUGUAUUUCAUGUAAAUUGUUCUUGAAUAGUCAUGGUCAUCAAGUGACAGGCUUCAGUUUUUAAAUUACAAUAAAAUAAUAGAAAUAUUUAGUAACGUGGUAACUUAAAACAUUUACAAUAUUUCAACCACAAUGUCUAAUUUUAAAAGAAUCAUGUUGUGUUUUUGUUUACAUUGAAAGUACAGCAAGGUGGUAUAAGCAAACUUGUAGUAGGUGGGAGACAGAAUUUCAAUGGAAGGUGUGCAAAAUUAGGUUUAAAUUCCCUGCAGCCCCCAGGUGAUGCACUUAUCCUUUGAGGAGAAAAUUGGGCCAUUUGCACUUGUAUGAAGUAGUGCAUCACCUACACUACUACAACCUUAUUCCAUAUAUAACAAAACAGAACCGAUGUAGAUCAUAACCAGUUUGUUUUGCUAACUUUCAAAGGAACAGAUGGUAAUGUCCUUGUUGAAAUUUAACUUAUUCUUUCUAUCUCCGGAAGUCAGUGAACUGUGUUCCUCUAGAGUAGUAUUUUUCUUCCUAAUGGUUUUUUGACAUCUACAGAUUCUACAAGGGUUAAAAGGAGAGUUUGAGUGUAACUGGUAAAAUCAGCAAUCCUUUGUUAACCAAGUGUGGUACUGCGCUGAGAAGUGACAGUAUGAGACUCCAGGUUAGUUCUGAUUUCCAUAAUGGUUAUGUUCAACCUACAAAUAGCCGUUUUUGCAACUGUCAGCCCUACAAACGCAAUAUAUGGGUCUGAAAGUCAAGCUGGAUCCUUUUUUACUCCUUUAUCAUUCUUAAUAGUAAGAUUCUGCAGGUUAAAUUCUGAGUUAUGCCUUUUCUUCUCUAUUGCCUUCUAGGAUUGGGUAAAAGAGGAAUGCAUUUGGCCUUGCCAUUGAAACUAAAUGGUGGUGGUGAUAACCAACCCAGUAGAGAAACCAACUCCCUCUCCCAGUUGCAUUGGCUUUGCAGUGUUACCAAAGGUUUAAAGUAGAAAAAAAUGGAUGUAUAUAGUUUGAUCUGACUCAGAUUUGCAUUGGGAGCAUACUGAAUUACAUGGUACCUUUGUAUAGCUACUGUUAGCACAGAACAGCAUUUUAAAGCACAUACCGUUACCCACCAUUUCCAUAGUCCAGUCUACACACAGAUUUUGUACUGAUGUAACUUUCAGUUAGGGAUGUAAUAUAUUUUUUUAAACCAAAAAGUUAUACUGGUAUGUCUCCUAAUGUGGACACAGUUAUGCCAAUAUAAAAGUGUUUAUACCACUGUAGCUUAUUCCUGUAUGGGAAAGGGAAUACUGAAAUAACUGCAUCCAUAAGAGGGCUGUACCACUUUAACUACACCAGUAUAGUAAAAACGGUACAGCAUCUGUGUAUACAAGGCCUUAGUUUCUGUAGAGGUAAGGCUUAACUUGAGAUAUGAGAGUUAAUAACGUAAUAAUAACGUAUUGCCAAGUCAAGUACUUCAAAGUUAGGAAAUGUCAGAAUUAAGGUUGCCUGUACAACAUUAAUUCAGCCCCCUUGUUUGUAUGCAUAAUUCUCUCUUUACAAUACAUGCUAUUUUUUCCACAGGACCCUUGCCUCAUUCAGUGCACAGAACUUAAGGAGCAGCUAUUGAAUAUUUUAUUUUUCUCCUCAUUGUUCAAUGUGUGGCCCCAUGCCUUAUUUACUGCACACUAUUCAAACCCUGCUCUGAAGAAUUAAUUUCCUAAUGGGCUUUUCUGUGGUGCCAAACAAUAUAUAAUAUUUGAGUGCUUCACAACUAUUAAUUUCCUUUCACAACACACAUCUGAGGUAAGGGGUCAUUAUCCCAGUUUUAAAGAUGGGGAGCUGAGGAACAGAAAAAUUAAGGUCAAAAUAUCCACUAAUUUUGGGUGCCUAAUUGGAGAUGCCUGUUUUUUCGAGUGCUUCACAUUAAAUAGCACUUUAUAGGUUCAAAGUACAGUUCUCUUUGUCUUCAGCUGCAGGUGUGAGCGCUCAGCACUUCUGUGAAUCAGAAUCCAGACUAUCAAGUUGGACACCCAGAAAAUGAGGAAUGCACAAUUAGUGAAUAUCUGAGAAAAGUUUGAGAGUGACUUGACUAGCAUCACAUAGGAACUCUGGCAGAGGCACAGACAGAAUCCAGCUCUCCAGGGCAGCAUUCAGCUACCUUAACCAUGAAACCAUCCUUUUGUCUUACUGUAGUCCCCUGCCAUCUUCUGCCUUAACCACUACAUACUUUCUAAUCUGGUAUCCUACAGCCACAAUCUCCUUCACUACACAACCCUGUUCCAUCUCCAGAGCAGGUUCAUCCUGUGCACUUAAUGAAGCAGAGGGAAAAUAGUUGGGAUUAUGUAACGUGAGUGUCUCAUGAUGCAUAUGCCCAAGGGGGCUGAAUUCAGUUUCACAUGCAAACUUUAUACAGGUAUUUUUUAAUUUUCAGUUGUUUGACUUUGCAACUUUAAUGUUCUUUAAAUGCUUGUGUAUAAUUUCAUAGUCUUUUAAAAAAAGCAAUCUAAAAAACCAAUUUCCAUCAUCUGGCAUCAUAUUGACAUUCACAUGGUUCAUCAGCAGGGUUGGAACCUUUAGAUUCAUCACACAGAUCUCUACCAUUUGAGCUAACAAAGUAAAGGAUAGCAGUAGUAGGUUGUCAUCCUGCAUGCAGACCGACAUAAGAGGAGGAAUGGGACACUUCUGCUCGUGCAUUUCACAGAUAUUUGCUGAGGGCAAUCCGGAUUCCAAUCCAGGCUUUGGAGGGAAGUGUGUCCCAGGGGACCCAGAUUCUUCUGCCUAUUUCUUCUCAAGUACAACCCCUUUUACCCAACCCCUUCCCCCUGUACCAGUCCUUUUUUUUUUUUUUUUUUUUUCCCCCCCUCUCCCAACCCAGCUCCUUCUUCCUGUCACAUUCUCCUCCUCUAUCUAGUCCCAGUCUCCACUGCUUAGGCUUCUCAUCACAGGCGCCUUGCCCAGCAAGUUCUAGCCUCAAGCCUCUGGAUUUUCUGUCCCCCCCUUACUAGUUUCAUUGCCCAGCCAGUCUCCCACCCCCACACCGUGGCCUCCAGUCAUACCUGCCCAUGUUGCCUGGUCCCCUUGACUCCCAAUCUUCUCCCCAGCUGCUUGUCCAAUCUCAAUGUGUCUGCCCCAUUCCAUAUUCCAGUCUCUUUACCCAUCUGGUCCCACCUACACCUCAGCUCCUCAUCGGAUCCGUCUCCCUCCUCAUCACCUCACUGGUUCUCACUCUGUCUCCCUGCCUGCUCAUCUGAUUUCAAUCUCCUCCCCUCACCAACUGGCUCCCAGUUUCCCACACCACAUUUAUUCAUAGAUUAAUUGGCUUUGAAUCUCAGCCUGUUGCAAUCCCUCUCCUCCCAGUCCUAGACUUCUUGCCAAGUUUGUCACAGUUAUUCCUGCUCCCAGUUACUUUGCCUACCAAUCCCAGUCUCCCCCACGUAACUCCUGGUAUCAAUUUACCUCUCCCCCUACCAACCUCCAGUUCCACAGUACCCACCCCCCACCAAAGCAGGUCUGUCUCUUGACCCCUCUACACAUGAAUCAACAGCUUUCUUCCCCCCAUGCUGUCUGGGUCCAGCAGAGGGCCAUCGAGAACACAGUAGAGACAGUAGAGACGGUGUCCCUGGUCUCAGUUCAGGUGUUGAGACCUAACAUAUGUCAUAGCAGCCUAGAGUUACAUUUGUUGGUUAAGUCCUGCUCAGCCCCAACGUGGAGCAUGCCCAGGAUGGACAGAUCUUCAGGGAAUUUUUGCUGCUAAAAUGUAAAGUCUCUACUGAGCAUGUACAAAUGCAAUUUUUCAAAGACAUAACUUGGCCAAAUUUGGGGAGAUUUUCAUGGAGAUGGCAAAAGGAUACAUCCUUGACACAAAUGGCAUCCCCUGCCCAAUUUCUAGUCCUUGCUCCCAAGCAUAGGGGCAUUAGAGCUUUUCAAAGAAAAGGUUGCCAGAAUUUUUAAUAUGGCAAAUCAAUGAAUUUAUCCCUUGUUCUUGGCAAUGGCUUAGUCGUUUUAGCCAAAAUUUUCCAAUAGUCUGAUGCAACACCUGGUAUGGAAGAUUUUAGCCUGAAUGGUUAAAGUUUGGCAGUUAUCAGCAACUGAAAACAGGGUUUGCAGUGUAUUGGACACCUUAAAUAAUAAGAGGUUCUUCCAGCUGUGCUUAUAUUAUGAGAGUAACUUUCCACACAUGGAGCUGCAAGUAUCAUUUAGCUUAAAUUACUACAGACUGUAACAUAUUAAUGUGUAAUGCCAGAGGAUUUUAGUGUGUUUAGAAUCGGCAUGAGUAACUAAAUUGAUGUGUUGUCUUCAUCUUUGUGUGGGUGUGUUUCCAAAGGGGUCCUACAGGGAUUGAGUCUUGGCCCUUUGCUAUUUAACAUUUCGAUCAGUGAUCUGGAAGAAAACAUAAAAUCACUGAUAAAGUUUCCAGAUCACACAAAAAUUGGGGAAGUGGUGAAUGAUGAAGAGGACGAGUCACAGAUUCAAAACAAUCUGGAUCACUUGGAAAACUGGGCUCAAGCAAACUGUGCUUUAAUACAGCUAAAUGUAAAUGUAUACAUCUAGGAACAAAGAAUGAAGAUCAUAUUUACAGGAUGGGGAACUCAGUGAUUCUGAAAAAGAUUUGAGGGCAUGAUGGAUAAUCAGUUGAAAAUGAGCUUUCAGUGUGACACUGCAGCCAAAAGAGCUAGAGUAAUCCUGGGGAUGCAUAAACAGGGGAAUCUUAAACAGGAAUAGAGAAGUUAUUUUACCUCUGCAUUUGGCAUUGGUGGCUGGAAUGCUGUGUCCAGUUUUGGUGCCCACAAUUUAGGAAGGAUAUUCAUAAAUUGGAAAGGGCUCAGGGAAGAGCCAUGAGAAUUAUUAGAAAACAUGCCUUAAACAGAUUAGUUUAACAAAACGGUUAAGGGAGUGACUUGAUUACAUCUGCAUGGGCAACAGCUCUUCAUUCUAACAUAAAAAGGUAUAAAAUUAUGCAAUGGUUGGAAAUUGAAGCUAGACAAAUUCAGACUGGAAAUAUGGUGUAGAUUUUUAAAGGUGAGAGUAGUUAACCAUUGGAACAAUUUAGCAAGGCUCAUGGUGGAUACUCUAUCACUGCCAAUUUUUAAGUUUGGAUGUUCUUCUAAAAGAUAGGCUCUAGAAAUUAUUUGGGGGGAUGUUCUAUGGCCUGUGUUGUACUGGAGGUCAGUCUAGAUGAUCACAGUGGUCCCCUGGGGCCUUGGAAUUUAUUAAUCUAGGUUUGUUUAGAGCUGGUCCAUUAUAGUUCUUUUGCGUUGCUUUCUUAAUUGUUCACACUAGCCUUUACUGAGGCUAAUAUUAAACAUUGUAAAAAAAAAAAAAAA
This is a long non-coding RNA of Dermochelys coriacea (leatherback sea turtle), 6652 nucleotides long. RefSeq lists it as uncharacterized. The transcript is spliced from 2 exons. NCBI's taxonomy places the organism in Eukaryota, Metazoa, Chordata, Testudines, Dermochelyidae. The record is from RefSeq and is a predicted model, not a curated record.